Molecule: unclassified non-coding RNA, 219 nt
Filed under: Bombus terrestris (buff-tailed bumblebee)
Lineage: Eukaryota; Metazoa; Arthropoda; Insecta; Hymenoptera; Apidae
Description: misc RNA ENSBTSG00005034060.1
Source: RNAcentral
AAAUGAUCAAAACAAUCGCUGUGAAACACAAAAUGUUAAUUGUUACUUUUAUUAGAAAUUAUAUAUACUGGUAGAGAAUUUGUCAAAGUAGAUCGUACAUUAUGUAUAUAAUUCCAUUAUAUUGUAGAGUUGCUUGUUAUACGAAGAUAGACUUGACAAUUAUAUGGCAGUUCGUGUGUCACGUUCUGAAAUACCGACAUUGAAAGAGAUCAGAGAUCA